GUGUGACUGCGUACCUUUUGUAUAAUGGGUCAGCGACUUAUAUUCUGUAGCAAGGUUAACCGAAUAGGGGAGCCGAAGGGAAACCGAGUCUUAACUGGGCGUUAAGUUGCAGGGUAUAGACCCGAAACCCGGUGAUCUAGCCAUGGGCAGGUUGAAGGUUGGGUAACACUAACUGGAGGACCGAACCGACUAAUGUUGAAAAAUUAGCGGAUGACUUGUGGCUGGGGGUGAAAGGCCAAUCAAACCGGGAGAUAGCUGGUUCUCCCCGAAAGCUAUUUAGGUAGCGCCUCGUGAAUUCAUCUCCGGGGGUAGAGCACUGUUUCGGCAAGGGGGUCAUCCCGACUUACCAACCCGAUGCAAACUGCGAAUACCGGAGAAUGUUAUCACGGGAGACACACGGCGGGUGCUAACGUCCGUCGUGAAGAGGGAAACAACCCAGACCGCCAGCUAAGGUCCCAAAGUCAUGGUUAAGUGGGAAACGAUGUGGGAAGGCCCAGACAGCCAGGAUGUUGGCUUAGAAGCAGCCAUCAUUUAAAGAAAGCGUAAUAGCUCACUGGUCGAGUCGGCCUGCGCGGAAGAUGUAACGGGGCUAAACCAUGCACCGAAGCUGCGGCAGCGACGCUGAUGCGUUGUUGGGUAGGGGAGCGUUCUGUAAGCCUGUGAAGGUGUGCUGUGAGGCAUGCUGGAGGUAUCAGAAGUGCGAAUGCUGACAUAAGUAACGAUAAAGCGGGUGAAAAGCCCGCUCGCCGGAAGACCAAGGGUUCCUGUCCAACGUUAAUCGGGGCAGGGUGAGUCGACCCCUAAGGCGAGGCCGAAAGGCGUAGUCGAUGGGAAACAGGUUAAUAUUCCUGUACUUGGUGUUACUGCGAAGGGGGGACGGAGAAGGCUAUGUUGGCCGGGCGACGGUUGUCCCGGUUUAAGCGUGUAGGCUGGUUUUCCAGGCAAAUCCGGAAAAUCAAGGCUGAGGCGUGAUGACGAGGCACUACGGUGCUGAAGCAACAAAUGCCCUGCUUCCAGGAAAAGCCUCUAAGCAUCAGGUAACAUCAAAUCGUACCCCAAACCGACACAGGUGGUCAGGUAGAGAAUACCAAGGCGCUUGAGAGAACUCGGGUGAAGGAACUAGGCAAAAUGGUGCCGUAACUUCGGGAGAAGGCACGCUGAUAUGUAGGUGAAGUCCCUCGCGGAUGGAGCUGAAAUCAGUCGAAGAUACCAGCUGGCUGCAACUGUUUAUUAAAAACACAGCACUGUGCAAACACGAAAGUGGACGUAUACGGUGUGACGCCUGCCCGGUGCCGGAAGGUUAAUUGAUGGGGUCAGCGCAAGCGAAGCUCUUGAUCGAAGCCCCGGUAAACGGCGGCCGUAACUAUAACGGUCCUAAGGUAGCGAAAUUCCUUGUCGGGUAAGUUCCGACCUGCACGAAUGGCGUAAUGAUGGCCAGGCUGUCUCCACCCGAGACUCAGUGAAAUUGAACUCGCUGUGAAGAUGCAGUGUACCCGCGGCAAGACGGAAAGACCCCGUGAACCUUUACUAUAGCUUGACACUGAACAUUGAGCCUUGAUGUGUAGGAUAGGUGGGAGGCUUUGAAGUGUGGACGCCAGUCUGCAUGGAGCCGACCUUGAAAUACCACCCUUUAAUGUUUGAUGUUCUAACGUUGACCCGUGAUCCGGGUUGCGGACAGUGUCUGGUGGGUAGUUUGACUGGGGCGGUCUCCUCCUAAAGAGUAACGGAGGAGCACGAAGGUUGGCUAAUCCUGGUCGGACAUCAGGAGGUUAGUGCAAUGGCAUAAGCCAGCUUGACUGCGAGCGUGACGGCGCGAGCAGGUGCGAAAGCAGGUCAUAGUGAUCCGGUGGUUCUGAAUGGAAGGGCCAUCGCUCAACGGAUAAAAGGUACUCCGGGGAUAACAGGCUGAUACCGCCCAAGAGUUCAUAUCGACGGCGGUGUUUGGCACCUCGAUGUCGGCUCAUCACAUCCUGGGGCUGAAGUAGGUCCCAAGGGUAUGGCUGUUCGCCAUUUAAAGUGGUACGCGAGCUGGGUUUAGAACGUCGUGAGACAGUUCGGUCCCUAUCUGCCGUGGGCGCUGGAGAACUGAGGGGGGCUGCUCCUAGUACGAGAGGACCGGAGUGGACGCAUCACUGGUGUUCGGGUUGUCAUGCCAAUGGCACUGCCCGGUAGCUAAAUGCGGAAGAGAUAAGUGCUGAAAGCAUCUAAGCACGAAACUUGCCCCGAGAUGAGUUCUCCCUGACUCCUUGAGAGUCCUGAAGGAACGUUGAAGACGACGACGUUGAUAGGCCGGGUGUGUAAGCGCAGCGAUGCGUUGAGCUAACCGGUACUAAUGAACCGUGAGGCUUAACCUUACAACGCCGAAGGUGUUU
Molecule: ribosomal RNA, 2372 nt
Filed under: Escherichia coli
Lineage: Bacteria; Pseudomonadati; Pseudomonadota; Gammaproteobacteria; Enterobacterales; Enterobacteriaceae
Description: bacterial LSU rRNA
Rfam family: Bacterial large subunit ribosomal RNA
Source: RNAcentral